Molecule: long non-coding RNA, 544 nt
Filed under: Homo sapiens (human)
Lineage: Eukaryota; Metazoa; Chordata; Mammalia; Primates; Hominidae
Description: non-protein coding lnc-ALCAM-18:1
Source: RNAcentral
GAGUAUAAGCUAGUCGUUCUGGGCUCAGGAGGCAUUCGAAAGUCUGCUCUGCCUUUACAAUUUGUCCAAGGAAAUUAUGUUGAAAAUUAUGAUCCUAUGAUAGAAGAUUCGUACAGAAAGCAACUUGAAAUAGAUGCACAACAGUGUGUGCUUGAAAUCUUGGAUACCACAAAAACAGAAAAAUCUUCAGCAAUGAGGGAUUUGUACAUGCAAAAUAAACAAGGCUUUGCAUUAGUUUAUUUCAUCAUAGCACAGUGCACAUUUAAUGAUUUUCAACAUCUAAGAGAAAAGAUUCUUCAAGUUAAAAACAUUGAUGAUGUUCCAAUGAUUCUGGUCGGUAAUAAUUGUGACUUGGAAGAUGAAAGAGUUGUAGAAAAGGAACAAGGUCAAAAUCUAACAAGACAGUGGGCCAACACUGCAUUCUUAUAAUCUUCUUCAAAAUUACAAGUAAAUGUUAAUUAGCUAUUUUAUUACCCAGUGCAACAAAUUAACAGAAAAACUCUAGUGCCUGGAAGGCUUGGAAAAAGUCAUGUCAGCUGGUUUA